GAUGAAGAACGUAGCGAAAUGCGAUAAGUAGUGUGAAUUGCAGAAUUCAGUGAAUCAUCGAAUCUUUGAACGCACAUUGCGCCCCUUGGUAUCCCGAGGGGCAUGCCUGUUCGAGCGUCAUUUCACCACUCAAGCCUGGCUUGGUGUUGGGCGACGUCCUCUUUGGGGACGCGCCUCGAAACGCUCGGCGGCGUGGCACCGGCUUUAAGCGUAGCAGAAUCUUUCGCUUUGGAAGUCGGGGCCCCGUCUGCCGGAAGACCUGCUCGCAAGGUUGACCUCGGAUCAGGCAGGGAUACCCGCUGAACGUAAGCAUAUCAAUAAGCGGAGGA
Molecule: unclassified non-coding RNA, 329 nt
Filed under: soil metagenome
Description: partial contains 5.8S ribosomal RNA, internal transcribed spacer 2, and large subunit ribosomal RNA
Rfam family: 5.8S ribosomal RNA (bases 1-120)
Source: RNAcentral